RNAcentral lists this long non-coding RNA (430 nucleotides) under Salvia miltiorrhiza (redroot sage). Its description in RNAcentral is "long non-coding RNA (SMIL_LNC000519)". Lineage: Eukaryota; Viridiplantae; Streptophyta; Magnoliopsida; Lamiales; Lamiaceae. The record is from RNAcentral.
AUGUAGUCAUUCCAAAAAUUUCAAUCCACAAUGCAAAAUCACAAAAUAAAUCCACAAAAAGUAUCAAAAUUACACAAUAUUUAUAAAACAUGACAUUUGAUCUUGAAGCUCCUUGCAAAUCUCAUCCUACAAAUAUCAAAAAAAUUCAAAUUACAUAAAAAAAAUCACAAAUGAGUAAUACCAAAAAUUAGACAAAUUCAAAAGAAAUAACUUUACCAAUGUUUUCUUCACAAAACUCUCAAGACAUUGUAUAUUCUUUGAUGUCUUGAGUGUCAUCCUGUAGAAAGACAUAUAGAAAAGUUUAGAUAUAAGAAUAUACAUGAAUAAAUGUAGGAAAAACAUCAAAAUAAAUAAUGAAAUUCCAAGACUUGAACUAAUCUUAGUAAUGAAAUCCUGCAGCAUAAGAAAAAUUCCAAGACUUGAACUAAUC